Small nucleolar RNA from Macadamia integrifolia, 107 nucleotides. Lineage: Eukaryota; Viridiplantae; Streptophyta; Magnoliopsida; Proteales; Proteaceae. The record is from RefSeq and is a predicted model, not a curated record.
AGGCCAUGUUGAGGGCAUUCCUAGGGUAGAUCCUUGAAUCUCUCCAUAAGUUUAGAAAAUGACUCACUAAGCUUUUGCCUAAACUGAAGGAUAUCACUUCGAAGCUU